CCGACCUUAGCUCAGUUGGUAGAGCGGAGGACUGUAGUUAGAAGCAGAUAAUCCUUAGGUCGCUGGUUCGAAUCCGGCAGGUCGGA
Molecule: non-coding RNA, 86 nt
Organism: Eragrostis curvula (weeping love grass)
Lineage: Eukaryota; Viridiplantae; Streptophyta; Magnoliopsida; Poales; Poaceae
Source: the annotation of a GenBank genome assembly